RNAcentral lists this ribosomal RNA (498 nucleotides) under uncultured bacterium. Its description in RNAcentral is "partial 16S ribosomal RNA". It matches the Rfam family "Bacterial small subunit ribosomal RNA", at positions 29 to 523 of the family's 1533-position model. The record is from RNAcentral.
AUUGAACGCUGGCGGCAUGCUUUACACAUGCAAGUCGAACGGUAACAGGCCGCAAGGUGCUGACGAGUGGCGAACGGGUGAGUAAUGCAUCGGAACGUGCCCAGUCGUGGGGGAUAACGCAGCGAAGGCUGCGCUAAUACCGCAUACGAUCUAUGGAUGAAAGCGGGGGACCGUAAGGCCUCGCGCGAUUGGAGCGGCCGAUGUCAGAUUAGGUAGUUGGUGGGGGAAAGGCUCACCAAGCCAACGAUCUGUAGCUGGUCUGAGAGGACGCCCAGCCACACUGGGAGUGAGACACGGCCCAGACUCCUACGGGAGGCAGCAGUGGGGAAUUUUGGACAAUGGGCGCAAGCCUGAUCCAGCAAUGCCGCGUGCAGGAAGAAGGCCUUCGGGUUGUAAACUGCUUUUGUACGGAACGAAAAGGCUCUGGUUAAUACCUGGGGCUCAUGACGGUACCGUAAGAAUAAGCACCGGCUAACUACGUGCCAGCCGCCGCUGUAA